GAUCCUGGCUCAGGAUGAACGCUGGCGGCGUGCUUAACACAUGCAAGUCGAACGAAGCACCUUGAUUUGAUUCUUCGGAUGAAGAUCUUGGUGACUGAGUGGCGGACGGGUGAGUAACGCGUGGGUAACCUGCCUCAUACAGGGGGAUAACAGUUAGAAAUGACUGCUAAUACCGCAUAAGACCACAGUACCGCAUGGUACAGGGGUAAAAACUCCGGUGGUAUGAGAUGGACCCGCGU
This 239-nucleotide ribosomal RNA is filed under the name uncultured bacterium. RNAcentral describes it as "partial 16S ribosomal RNA". It matches the Rfam family "Bacterial small subunit ribosomal RNA", at positions 15 to 236 of the family's 1533-position model. The record is from RNAcentral.